Schistosoma mansoni is the source of this 45-nucleotide non-coding RNA. The record is from Rfam. NCBI's taxonomy places the organism in Eukaryota, Metazoa, Platyhelminthes, Trematoda, Strigeidida, Schistosomatidae.
AUUCAACUAAAGAGUCCCGAAUAAGAUGAAACGUACGUCCUGGAU